Molecule: ribosomal RNA, 488 nt
Filed under: uncultured Fusibacter sp.
Lineage: Bacteria; Bacillati; Bacillota; Clostridia; Eubacteriales; Fusibacteraceae
Description: bacterial SSU rRNA
Rfam family: Bacterial small subunit ribosomal RNA
Source: RNAcentral
AAACUCAAAGGAAUUGACGGGGGCCCGCACAAGCAGCGGAGCAUGUGGUUUAAUUCGAAGCAACGCGAAGAACCUUACCAGAUCUUGACAUCCAAUUGACCAUCUUUUAAUCGAGAUUUUGCCUUCGGGUACAAUUGAGACAGGUGGUGCAUGGUUGUCGUCAGCUCGUGUCGUGAGAUGUUGGGUUAAGUCCCGCAACGAGCGCAACCCUUGUGUUUAGUUGCAAACAGGUCAAGCUGUGCACUCUAGACAGACUGCCGUGGACAACACGGAGGAAGGUGGGGAUGACGUCAAAUCAUCAUGCCCCUUAUGAUCUGGGCUACACACGUGCUACAAUGGCCGGUACAACGGGCAGCGAGUUCGCGAGGACGAGCGGAUCCCUCAAAGCCGGUCGCAGUUCGGAUUGAAGUCUGCAACUCGACUUCAUGAAGCUGGAAUCGCUAGUAAUCGCGGAUCAGAACGCCGCGGUGAAUACGUUCUCGGGGUUU